AGAAGAACAAGAUGGAUUCAGGAAGGAAUUAACUCUGUGCAUGCCCUACAAUCUAAGGUGGGCAAAGGGAAGAAUGUGGAGUGUUUUGGCAGAGCCCCUUGGGAUGGUUGGGAAAGAUUGAGGGAGUGGGUGGGUGGCAGUGGGGGUGACAUUUGUGUGGAAUGUUAAGGCCACAGACACAUCCCAGGCUGAGCUCCACGUGGCCCCUUAGAGUGAGCUGCUCACUCAGGGUACUUCAUCUGGGUGGAGGGAGGCAGGAGUGGAAACUCCAGGCCUAAUUGCUGGGUCUCUCUCAGCUCUUCCAGGGAGCACAGGGCAGGAAAUUCCUCAAAUUCCAGGCUUGUAGGAUCAUUGCUGAGCGUAACCGCAGAGCAUCUUUUUUUCCUUUGCAGUUUUAAAGCAGCAGCAAAUUAGAAGGGUUUAGUGGGGCUGAUGGCUAAAAGAAAGGCCCCAAACAUAACAGUCUCUUGCGAGGAAAGUUCCAGAUCUGGGAAUCCCAGAGAAAUUGGCUCUGAAUUGAGUAACUUUGAGGUUGAAAAUAGACUGCUGUGGACAGGGACAGGAAUUUUUCCCAGGGUGAUUUUAUGACCUUUGGAAAGGAACUUGCUUUAGGAGAACCUGAGCAAGAAUUAUCUUGUUGAAAUAAAUGAUGGCGGAACAGGGAGCACAUCCAAAGGGGUCUCUGGGGUUUACAGAAUUUCCUUUUGCUCAGAGGGAGAGGCCAGUCAGGUCUCCUCCCACAGCACUGGAUGGGGGCGGGAGGGAGAGCUGAUGCUGUUCCACACACUGUUCCCUGAACAGCCCACACAUCUUCUCACCCCCACGCUCAUUUGGACCACUGAUCCUUCUUCCCAUCCCGUGCCUUCUGAAAUCUGGAUUUGCCUGGAGAUGCACUUUUAAUGCCCCUUUCUCUCUUUCCUUUUUUUUUUUUUUUUUUUUUUUUUUAAAGGGCAUAUGGAAGUUCCCAGGCUAGGGGGUCGAAUCAAAGCCACAGCUGUCACCCUACGCCAUAGGCGCAGCCACAUGGGAUCUGAGCCAUGUCUGUCAUAGCUGCUCAUGGCAACACCGGAUCCUUAACCCACUGUGUGAGGCCAGGGAUCAAACCCACGUCCUCAUGGAUCCUAGUGGAGUUCAGUAACUGCUGAGCCACGAAGGGAACUCCUACUGCCUCUCUUAAGGUAGUUUUCUCUACUCCCCCGAAAGAAUAAGCGAUUCUUUCCUUGGGACUUCCAAAGCAAAUUGCUUAAUUUCGUUGUGACACUUAUAUUCUGCCUUAAUCAUAGGAAGUUGUUUAUCCCUGUCUCUGUCACCAGACUGUAACACUCCUGAAGGAUAGGGAGUGUUUCUUGUUCUUAUUGGUAACUUCCUUCUCUUUCCUCUUCUCCCCACGCAUAGUGGAGUGCCUGCUACACAAUAUAUCCACACACAGAAACACACAAAUGCUUAUUGAGUGAAUAUUCCGGGCAUUGGCAGGUCCCUAUAAUGAAAUUUUAAUUCAGAGUCUGGUUCCUCUUCCAGCUAACCACUUCUGUUCCUCACUAUCACUUAAUACAUGCCCAGAGAAUGCAAACGAUUGUUUAAUAUUAUCUUCGGUAGAACAUAAUUAGGUGCUGCUAAAAAUUCAUCAUCAUGCUUUGCAAAGCCAAGAAGAAAUGACUUUUGCAUUAUCCGUACCACUAGUCUUCCUCCGUGUACCAAUAACUGAGAUGUGAAUGUGUUCCUUAUCGGUCACGAGGGGACACCAUCCAGGGCAGUUGGAUUCACUGGGUUGGAGGAGGAAGGGGCCCAGGGCCCAUGGCCUCUGCUGUAAUUCUUCCUUCUCGGCUGCUGUGCAUCCUGGGAUUUGCCCAGGGCACUUAGUGUUGGUGGUCCCGCCCUCAGCUGCAACCUAAAAAUGGCCAGUGUGGGCUGGCAUCAAGGAAGCAGCCCCACCAAAACCUCAAAAAUUUGCAGUCAGAAAUGCUGGAUCCUGGCUUUCAUUCUAGUGCUGUUCAGUUCUUUCUUGGGACAGGGUUUUAAACUCUCUUCAGUUCUUCUUCAGACCCGUGUGACCCCUUUUGUUAUCAGAUCUCUUUUUCCAGCGGAGGGGGGGGGUGCAAACACAGGUUUUUCACUACACUUGAAUGCAGUCAGCUAGUGAAAUGUUCAUAGGAGUUCCCGUCGUGGAGCAGCGGAAACGAAUCCCACUAAGAACCAUGAGGACAUGGGUUCAAUCCCCGGCCUUGCUCAGUGGGUUAAGGAUCCGGUGUUGCCAUGAGCUGUAAGUCGCAGGUGCAGCUUGGAUCCUGCGUUGCUGGGGCUGUGGCGUAGGCUGGCCGCUACAGCUCCGAUCAGACCCCUAUCCUACAGCUCCAAUUAGACCCCUAUCCUGCAAACCUCCAUAUGCUGCCAGAGCAGCCCUAAAAAGACAAAAAGACACCCCCCAAAAAAAUAAAAUAAAUAAAAUAU
Molecule: long non-coding RNA, 2448 nt
Filed under: Sus scrofa (pig)
Lineage: Eukaryota; Metazoa; Chordata; Mammalia; Artiodactyla; Suidae
Description: lncRNA (ENSSSCG00005004474.1)
Source: RNAcentral